UACGGAGGGUGCAAGCGUUAUCCGGAUUUAUUGGGUUUAAAGGGUCCGUAGGCGACUUAUAAGUCAGUGGUGAAAUCCUGCAGCUCAACUGUAGAACUGCCAUUGAUACUGUAAGUCUUGAAUUCGGUUGAAGUGGGCGGAAUAUGGCAUGUAGCGGUGAAAUGCUUAGAUAUGCCAUAGAACACCGAUUGCGUAGGCAGCUCACUAAGCCUGGAUUGACGCUGAGGGACGAAAGCGUGGGUAGCGAACAGG
This 252-nucleotide ribosomal RNA is filed under the name uncultured bacterium. RNAcentral's name for it is "partial 16S ribosomal RNA". It matches the Rfam family "Bacterial small subunit ribosomal RNA", at positions 524 to 776 of the family's 1533-position model. The record is from RNAcentral.